This 60-nucleotide transfer RNA is filed under the name Odocoileus hemionus (mule deer). Its description in RNAcentral is "tRNA-Pro". Lineage: Eukaryota; Metazoa; Chordata; Mammalia; Artiodactyla; Cervidae. RNAcentral also lists the same sequence under 1 other name. The record is from RNAcentral.
CAGGGAAUAGUUUAAAUAGAACUUCAGCUUUGGGUGUUGAUAGUGGGGUAUGGCUUCUUA